This 1445-nucleotide long non-coding RNA is filed under the name Taeniopygia guttata (zebra finch). RNAcentral describes it as "lncRNA (ENSTGUG00000021504.1)". Lineage: Eukaryota; Metazoa; Chordata; Aves; Passeriformes; Estrildidae. The record is from RNAcentral.
CACAGCCACCUCGGGUCCCCUCCGCAGCCCCCUCCCGCCACACAAAGGCAGAUUGCAUUGUGGAAUGUCGCUCGGUGUUGGCACAUGCUGCUGUGUUUAUUUUCUGUGGAUCCCCUGUAUGAAUAUAUGUUAAAAAAAAAAAAAAAAAAAAAAGAAAGGAAGAGAACUGAAAAGCUAUCCCUUUUUGAUGUAGACAGUAUUUAACCGUACGAAUUUGCACUGCAAGAAAAUCGAAGUUUACAUAAACAAAAUGUUUAUUUUUUCUUUUUUCCCCCUUCCUUUCCGACCUUAAUUUUGCAAAUGACUUGCAUUUUCCACAGUGAGCGUAAGUCAACCAGUGACCAGUCUACAAUAUGUUACUGUGUUUUAGCCUUUGCUUUAUGUGUAUAUGUGAACUUUUGUUAUAAACAAGUAUUCUUAAAUACGUGUAAUGCUUAUUUUCUCCUUUUACCAUAGCAAAAAAAAAUAGUAUAUGUGUGUGUAUGUAUACAUAUGCACGCGUGCAUAGACAUACAUAUAUACACAUAUAUAUAUAAUCUCUAUAUAUACACAUAUAUAUGCAUCUCCAGCUUCCAUUCUUCAGAGAUGUGACUCUCGUAAUUGUUUAAUACAUGCCUUCAAUGGCAAGAGUCGAGUUUGGAGAAGGGAGAAUAAUGCAAAUCAACAAAGUAAACUUCAUUUUCAGGCAGUGUGUCCAGGGGUCGAGGCGCAACCAAAGGGGGAGGAAAAAAAUAUGUGCAACCCUUCCAGACCGUGUCAGUGCUGGCAAGCAAGGCCUGGUGUGGGGAAGGCGGAGAGGGAACAGUAUGUUUCCAGAGUUUUCCCAGAGAAAGUGGCAUUUCCUUGAAGGGGAAAGGGAAUUAUUUAGCUUCCCCACCACCGCCCCCUCAGCGCCCUUUCCUUCCCCUCCUCCUCCCACCGCGGCUCCCCUGCGUGCCUUUGGCAUCCCCAGUCUCGCCUCCCGGGCCGAUAUCAGCCUCUAAACUUUCUUUUAUUGAGCAAUUUUACUUCAAGGCAGAGCCAGGGAGAGUCUGAGGAGCUGCUGGGCCCGAGGUGGGGGUCGGGUGCUUACACCUGCCUGUAAACACACGCUGCCCCCUCCUCUCCACAGAGACUGUGUGCAUUUCUUUUUCUCUUUACUUUCCAUAUUUAUUUUAUUUUCUAUUUGUAUCCAGCCCCUCUCCCUUCCCAUCCUCCCCUUGUCCUUUGGUCAGAUUGUGGUAUAAUUUAUUGAAGGAAAGGACCAGUUUUAACUUGGGCAGCCUUGUGUCUUUCACUGGGGAAUGAAAUGAAGUGGGGGAAAAAAUGCCAUUUUUCAAUCCGUGUUUCCCACCCCCCCCCCCUUUCGCUAAUAGUUUUAAAGUGCAUUUCGUGACAUUAUCUUGAUGAGAAAUGGUUAACUUUCCAAAAUAAAAAAAAAAGAGAAAAACCCACGGGGACAAAAA